Molecule: ribosomal RNA, 1064 nt
Filed under: Escherichia coli
Lineage: Bacteria; Pseudomonadati; Pseudomonadota; Gammaproteobacteria; Enterobacterales; Enterobacteriaceae
Description: bacterial SSU rRNA
Rfam family: Bacterial small subunit ribosomal RNA
Source: RNAcentral
UGUUUCGCUGACUAGUGGCGGCCGGGUGAGUAAUGCCUGGGACAUUGCCUGUUGGAGGGGGAUUACUACUGGAAACGGUAGCUAAUACCGGCUAACGUCGCAAGACCUCUAGGGGGACCUUCGGGCCUCUUGCCGUCGGAUGUGCCCUGAUGGGAUUAGCUUGUAGGUGGGGUAACGGCUCACCUAGGUGACGAUCCCUAGCUGGUCUGAGAGGAUGACCAGCCACACUGGAACUGAGACACGGUCCACACUCCUACGGGAGGCAGCAGUGGGGAAUAUUGCACAAUGGGCGCAAGCCUGAUGCAGCCAUGCCGCGUGUAUGAAGAAGGCCUUCGGGUUGUAAAGUACUUUCAGCGGGGAGGAAGGGAGUAAAGUUAAUACCUUUGCUCAUUGACGUUACCCGCAGAAGAAGCACCGGCUAACUCCGUGCCAGCAGCCGCGGUAAUACGGAGGGUGCAAGCGUUAAUCGGAAUUACUGGGCGUAAAGCGCACGCAGGCGGUUUGUUAAGUCAGAUGUGAAUCCCCGGGCUCACCUGGGAACUGCAUCUGAUACUGGCAGCUUGAGUCUCGUAAGGGGGGUAGAAUUCCAGGUGAGCGGUGAAUGCGUAGAGAUCUGGAGGAAACCGGUGGCGAGGCGGCCCCUGGACAAGACUGACGCUCAGUGCGAAACGUGGGGAGAAACAGGAUAGAUACCUGGUAGCCACGCCGUAACGAUGUCGACUGGAGGUGUGCCUUGAGCGUGCUUCGGAGCAACGCGUUAAUCGACCGCCUGGGAGACGGCGCAAGGUAAACUCAAUGAUUGACGGGGCCGCAAAGCGUGGACAUGUGGUUAAUUCAUGCACGCGAAAACCUUACUGGCCUGAAUCACAGAAUUUCAGAAUGGAAAGGGCCUCGGAACUGGAGACAGUGCUGAUGCUGCUUCACUCGUGUGUGAAUGUGGGUUAAUCCGCACGAGGGUACCUUAUCUUUGUGCAUGGGCCGCCGGACUCAACGAACUGCCUGGUAACUGGAGAAGGGGGAUACUCAAUCAUAUGGCUUAUACAGGUUACAUUGCUAAAUGAGUU